This 535-nucleotide long non-coding RNA is filed under the name Capsella rubella. RNAcentral's name for it is "long non-coding RNA (CRUB_LNC004077)". Lineage: Eukaryota; Viridiplantae; Streptophyta; Magnoliopsida; Brassicales; Brassicaceae. The record is from RNAcentral.
UUAAAAGAAAUGAGGUGCUUGAUGAUUGGCUUGGUAGUGCAUGCAUUGUUGCGAGUUGUUGGCUGGAAUGACCCUACGGUUUAGUAACAUAAAAGAACCUAAGAGUGUCAAAAGACUAUGGAUGGGAAUGAAAAGAAAUGAGGUGCUUGAUGAUUGGCUUGGUAGUGCAUGCAUUGUUGCGAGCUUAUGGCUGGAAUGACCCUACGGUUUAGUAACAUAAAAGAACCUAAGAGUGUCAAAAGACUAUGGAUGGGAAUGAAAAGAAAUGAGGUGCUUGAUGAUUGGCUUGGUAGUGCAUGCAUUGUUGCGAGCUGUUGGCUGGGAUGAACCUACGGGUAGUAACAUAAAAGAACUUAAGAGGGCCAAAAGACUAUGGAGGAGAGCGAAAAGAAUAGAGAUCCUUGAUGAUUGGCUUGGUAGUGCAUGCAUUGUUGCGAGCUGUUGGCUGGGAUGAACCUAAGACAAAGAAAAAUAGGCAAAAGACUGCUGGAUGGUAAAAAUGACCAGCAAGGAAAAGAAGCUUUAUGAGAAGACA